AGUGAACGCUGGCGGUAGGCCUAACACAUGCAAGUCGAACGGCAGCACACUAAUAUCUUGCUCUUACGGGUGGCGGGUCGCGGACGUGUCACGUAUAUCUCGUAAUCUUCUUUUUCGGGUGGCUUCACGUAGGUAAACUUAAUCUCAUAUCGCAUAUGCCCCUCCGGUGUACGCAGUGGAUCUUCUCGCCUUUCGCGAUUGGAUGUGCCGAUGUCGGGUUAGCUAGUUGGCGGGGUAAAGGCCAACCAAGGCGACGAUCCGUAGCUGGUCUGAGAGGAUGAUCAGCCACACUGGAACUGAGACACGGUCCAGACUCCUACGGGAGGCAGCAGUGGGGAAUAUUGGACAAAGGGCGCAAGCCUGAUCCAGCCAUACCGCGUGGGUGAAGAAGGCCUUCGGGUUGUAAAGCCCUUUUGUUGGGAAAGAAAAGCAGCAGGUUAAUACCACGCUGUUCUGACGGUACCCAAAGAAUAAGCACCGGCUAACUUCGUG
RNAcentral lists this ribosomal RNA (492 nucleotides) under uncultured bacterium. Its description in RNAcentral is "partial 16S ribosomal RNA". It matches the Rfam family "Bacterial small subunit ribosomal RNA", at positions 29 to 507 of the family's 1533-position model. The record is from RNAcentral.